This is a long non-coding RNA of Magallana angulata, 661 nucleotides long. RefSeq lists it as uncharacterized. NCBI's taxonomy places the organism in Eukaryota, Metazoa, Mollusca, Bivalvia, Ostreida, Ostreidae. The record is from RefSeq and is a predicted model, not a curated record. The transcript has 4 exons.
UAUAAAUUUAAAUACAUGUAGUCUAUUAUGAAAUACAAAAAAGGUUUAAAUCAUGUCCGUUCUAAAUUUUAAUGCCUUCAACUUAGUGAUAUAACAUUGGUUUUUGUUACACCAACUUACACAGUCCGGAGCAUCUGCAGUUGUUGGUGGUAUCGCUGGCAAAAGAAAACGAUGAAGUUCAUCUUCCCUCUACUUGUCUUUGUUGUCCUAAUCAACGUAAAUGUUACAGGUGUACAGAUGGUUCCUAAUAUGAGUGGCAAUGGUAAACUGAGGAGAUACUUCUUACCAGGAGGAAGAUGGGGAGGAGCAGGAGGAGGAGAAAGUUUGAAAGCAAAAUUAGGAAUAGGAUGCUGGAGAACGGAUUCAUAACGGAAAAUGUAAGCCCAUGGGAAAUGUAUCUACAAGACUCCGUGGAGCAAGAGGAUCUUUGACUGGAUGAAUCAGUCGUGACUAUUGAAUAAAAUUAGAAUCAGUAAUAAUGUUUAAAAUAUAUAAUACAAAAGACAGUACUCCUCUGAUUUCUCUGUAUUAAAGCCCAAAAAUUCGAGUCUUUUAUUUUAAUAUAGUAGUAUAGAUGAACAAGAUAUUUCAAUGGCCAUUUCAGAAUCUUUAAAUGGUACCUGCAGCCCAGCCAAUGUAAAACGUAUGUCACUGAAUUUAU